GGAGAGAUGUCCGAGUGGCUGAAGGAGCUCGUCUCGAAAACGAGUAGGCGAUGAGCCUCGUGGGUUCGAAUCCCACCCUCUCCGCCA
This 87-nucleotide transfer RNA is filed under the name Dehalococcoidia bacterium. RNAcentral's name for it is "tRNA-Ser". It matches the Rfam family "tRNA". From Rfam's summary of the family: Transfer RNA (tRNA) molecules are approximately 80 nucleotides in length. Their secondary structure includes four short double-helical elements and three loops (D, anti-codon, and T loops). The record is from RNAcentral. Lineage: Bacteria; Bacillati; Chloroflexota; Dehalococcoidia.